CUUUAGUAAAAGUUUGUUACUCGAGCCGCAAAGGGAAGCUAAAGAAUUAGAAGGAAAAGGGUGAGAGACGUAAGAAAUUGCCGCCACUUACAGGGAGAGGGUUUUUUCGUCUGUGCUAGUCAACCCCACUAGACCCUUUUAACUUCG
RNAcentral lists this non-coding RNA (147 nucleotides) under unclassified sequences. Its description in RNAcentral is "IMES-5 RNA". It matches the Rfam family "IMES-5 RNA". The record is from Rfam by way of RNAcentral.